GGAGAGGGUGGAGCUUUGGAGUGAGACCCAGGACGCCAAAUCCCAAAGAGAAAAAUAGGAGCCUAAAUAAGGAUCAGGACCAAGGGAAGGGGUGAAGAUACUCCUAAAUAGCCACAUAUGGAUUAAUUUUAUUUUAGAAUCGUGAAAAAUGGAAGACAGUAGCACAGACACAGAAAAAGAAGAGGAAGAGGAGAAAGAUGAAAAGGAUCAAGAGCCCAUUUAUGCCAUAGUGCCCACAAUUAACAUUCAAGAUGAGCGGUUUGUUGAUUUAUCUGAAACUCCAGCUUUCAUUUUUCUGCAUGAGCCAAUCCACAACUCCUGUUAGAAGACCGGAGGGAUAAUACCCAUAUACCUUAAUAAAGGUGAACUCCCACAGCUGCUCUCUCACUCCCUACCCACUGCUGAGCUCCCUGCCACCUCCAGACUUAUCUGCGCUCCCCAUCAGCACCCCUAAGCUGUCAGAUCUGUGGCCGGGAUGCAGUACCUGCACGGCGUCCUGGGCCCCAUCAUCAACAAGGUGUUUGAGGAGAAGAAGUACGUGGAGCUGGACCCCAGCAAAGUGGAAGUUAAGGAUGUAGGGUGCUCCAGGCUGCACCGCCCGCAGACCGAGGCCGAGGUGCUGGAGCAGAGCGCGCAGACGCUGCGCGCCCACCUGGGGGCCCUGCUGAGCGCGCUCAGCCGCUCGGUUCGCGCGUGCCCCGCCGUGGUGCGCGCCACCUUCCGCCAGCUCUUCCGGCGCGUGCGCGAGCGCUUCCCCGGCGCCCAGCACGAGAAUGUACCGUUCAUCGCCGUCACCAGCUUCCUGUGCCUGCGCUUCUUCUCCCCCGCCAUCAUGUCGCCCAAGCUCUUCCACCUGCGGGAGCGCCACGCGGACGCCCGCACCAGCCGCACCCUGCUCCUGUUGGCUAAGGCAGUCCAGAACGUGGGCAACAUGGACACGCCGGCUUCCAGGGCCAAGGAGGCUUGGAUGGAGCCGCUGCAGCCCACCGUGCGCCAGGGCGUGGCGCAGCUGAAGGACUUCAUCACCAAGCUCGUGGACAUCGAGGAGAAGGACGAGCUGGACCUGCAGCGGACGCUGAGUUUGCAGGCGCCACCUGUGAAGGAGGGGCCACUCUUCAUCCACAGGACCAAGGGCAAGGGCCCCCUCAUGUCCUCCUCCUUCAAGAAGCUCUACUUCUCCCUCACUACCGAGGCCCUCAGCUUCGCGAAGACGCCCAGCUCCAAGUGUGUGAAUGAGCUUAACCAGUGGCUGUCUGCGCUGUGGAAGGUGAGCAUCAACAACACCGGACUGCUGGGCUCCUACCACCCUGGCGUCUUCCGUGGGGACAAGUGGAGCUGCUGCCACCAAAAAGAGAAGACAGGUCAGGGCUGCGAUAAGACCCGGUCACGGGUGACCCUGCAGGAGUGGAAUGACCCUCUUGACCAUGACCUUGAGGCCCAGCUCAUCUACCGGCACCUGCUGGGCGUGGAGGCCAUGCUGUGGGAGAGGCACCGGGAGCUGAGCGGGGGCGCAGAGGCAGGCACGGUGCCCACGAGCCCUGGCAAAGUCCCUGAGGACUCAUUGGCCCGGCUGCUCCGGGUGCUGCAGGACCUCCGCGAGGCCCAUAGCUCCAGCCCGGCCGGCUCCCCACCCUCAGAGCCCAACUGCCUCCUGGAGCUGCAGACGUGAGGCCCGCCCUACGCUCCCCUUGCUGAGUCCCCUGCCAAGCGCUCGGAGCCCCCCCAGGACACUCUGCACCCCCUCACCCCGGUCCUCCUCAUUAGGGUGCAGGGCCUAGGUCUCUUCCAGGUGGGGGAGGGGAGAGAGUCAGGAAUAAGGGGAUCCCCAGAAGUGCAGAGCUGAGCAGGCUUGGGCCUGUCAUGGCUGGCCGGAAGUGUCCCCAGCUCCCUACAGACGCUGUAGCCAUCACUGCCUCUCCAGGGACCCUCCUCUCCUGCCCAGGACAGACCCAGCCAGAACCACUGCUAGGAUGGGCCGCACCCAGGGGUCUGGCCUCCAGGGACCUAGAGAAUGGGAGGGAGAACGGGGCCCCAGGAGACCCGGCCGCCACCCCACCCGCUACCCUUGGGUGCCACAGGGCUGUGCUGUUGCCAACAGUAAACCUGCUCUUACUGUCCAGGCUCUGGGGUCUUGUGAUGAGGGUCUGGGGAGAAAGUGGGCCCGGGGGGACCCCGGAGGCUGUCGGUGGAUGUGCCGAUGAUGGGGCUGACAGUAUGGGCUCUGGGCAUCCCUGUUCCCCCCUCUUUCUUCCCCCCACUCUUCUGGGGUCGGGGGUUCCUUUCCCUUCCCAGUUGCUGUCCCUGGGUCCCCUCUUUCAUGUCCCACAGGCCACAGAGCCCAGUGUGUCCAACCAGCUGUUCUCUCCUCAAAGCAGCCCCCAAGCAAGUCCCUUCUCUAGGGUGUCCCUGAGGACAGCACAGAGGCGGGACUCAGAGACCCCAUUCCUCUUCACGCAGCCCUUACCCCAAGCCCUCUAGCUGUGUGGCUGGCAGUGUUGGCCACGUAGGGGCUCCCAUCCCCCCACCAUUGUGUCACAUGGGCUGCCAGGCUCAGCUCCCAGCUGCGUCCACAGUGACCUGGAUCAGGGUGGGGACAAGGACUGGACCCUCCUUCUCCAGAAGGCCUUCAGCUCUUGCCUUGCCAUGCAGUCACCUCCUUCCCCCUCUGACCCCAGAUCCCAAAGGUGCACCGUUGCCCCAGCCCCUUUCUGGCCCCAUGGGGUUUCUCUGAUGCCUUCAUCAUAGAGGCCCGGGGCUGGUCCGAUGGUUGGCAAAACUUGACUCCGGCCCAGUCCCCACUCUUGGGGACUUAGAACCCCUGCUGUCCUGGGAUCUGGCCUGCCUUUCUUUGGUCAGUCCCUGUGGUCCCCCACCAGCUCCCCCUCCCAUAGGGCUGCCCACCAAGCCCUGCCCCCAGCCCAAGAGGAGCCCCCACUGCCUGCGGGGCAGUGAUGUCUGGCCACCGGCUCACACCAAUGACUUGGUCCUGGGGUGGCAGAAGCAGCAGGUGACAGGAGCAGGGCCCCUGUCCCUCUCUUCUGGCCCUGUGGUACCCAGGCCACACGUUGUGCCCGCUCUUGGGGCUGACCGGCUGUAGGGACCACCAGCCGCUGCUACUGUGGGCCGCCCCGGGGCAAGGUGGGCAGGGCUUUUGUGGGUUAUGAGGACACAGAAGUCCCUGAGGCCCCCAGACCUGGCUCAGCCAACCUCCUUCCUCCCCCGGUUGCCCCCCACUCUAAAGCCUCCUCCCUCCCAGCGUCCACUGGCUCCAGGCUCCUCACAACAGCAGCUCAUAGACACGGGGCGUCUCCAGGUGGUCCCAGCCCUCCAGAUGUUUCUAGCUCUCCAGGUGGGCGCUGUUUUCACGUCUGCCUGCAUCCAUUCAUUCCUUCAUUCCUCACCUUUAUCCUGUUAUCUCUAUUUUUUUAAGCUACCAGGAAGGAAAGGGAAGAAGAGAUCACGAAACUGGGACCCCCAGAAGGGAGGAGUGGGCUUUGAACUUAGACAUCUACCUCAGGCUCAAAUAGGUUGUUUAAAAUCACAUUCAAUUUUCAGAUGAAGGGGAACUUUAUAGUUUUUUUUUUUUUUUUUUUUUUGAGACAGAGUCUCACUGUGUUGCCCAGGCUGGAGUGCAAAUGGCUUGAUCUUGGUUCACUGCAACCUCUGCCUCCCAGGUUCAAGCAAUUCUCUUGCCUCAGCCUCCCGAGUAGCUGGGACUAAAGGCGUGUGCCACCAUGCCCAGCUAAUUCUUGUAUUUUUAGUAGAGACGGAGUUUCUCCAUGUUGGCCAGACUGGUCUCGAACUCCUGACCUCAGGUGAUCUGACCGCCUUGGCCUCCGAAAGUGCUGAGAUUACAGUUGCGAGCCACUGUGCGUGGCCAGAACUUUAUAAUAAGAGACUUGAAGCUGGGUGUGACGGUGCACACCUCUAGUCCCAGCUACUCGGGAGGCCAAGACAGAAGGAUCACCUUGAGGCCAGGAGUUUAAGGCCAGCCUGGGCAACAUAGCAAAACCUAGUCCCUAAAAUUAAAAAAAAAAAAAAAAAAAAAAAGGAAAAUAAAGGAGACUUGAAAUUUUUGAACUAAAUAGUGGUGAUGGCUACACAUUGUGAAUGUAAUUAACACCACUGAGUUAAACACUUAAAAUGGUUAAAAUGGCAAAUUGUAUGUUAUACCUAUUUUACUACAAUAAAAAGUAUAAAAAAGAGAAGAUAUUUAGGUGACUUACAGCAACCAAUUGCAACAAAACAAAAUGUUAAGAAAUGAUCUUUUUAUGAGGCAAUUGGAAAUUUGAACACUGAUCAACUAUAGGAUGAUUGGAAUUAUUAAUUUUGUAAAGGUGUGAUAAGAUACUGCACUUGGCUGGGCACAGUGGCACAUGCCUGUAAUCCCAGCUACUUGGCAGGCUGAGGUGGGAGAAUCGCUUGAGCUCAGGAGUUCGAGACCAGCCUGGGCAACGUGGCGAAAUCCCCGUCUUUACAAAAACAAACAAACAAACAAAAAAGAUAUUGCAGUUGUGUUGUAAGCGUCCUUAUCUUUCAGAGCUACAUAGUGGAAUGUUUAUGGAAUAUUUAGGAUAAAUGAUAUAGGCAUUUGGGAUUUGCUGCAAAAUGACCCAGAGGCAGGGGUCAGGGGGAGAGGUAGAGAUGAGACAAGAGGUAGAGGGGAGAGGUAGAGGUAGCCACGAGCUGAUAAUUACAGACAAGAGAUGCGGAGUAUGUGGGGGCUCAUUAUCCUGCAUAGUCUAUCUUUGUAUAUCUUUGAACUUUUCAAGAAUAAAAAAGCUUAAAAAGUA
Molecule: RNA transcript, 4793 nt
Organism: Homo sapiens (human)
Lineage: Eukaryota; Metazoa; Chordata; Mammalia; Primates; Hominidae
Gene: RASA4DP
Gene name: RAS p21 protein activator 4D, pseudogene
Exons: 12
Source: RefSeq, marked validated